CCAGCUUGCUGGUGGGGAUUAGUGGCGAACGGGUGAGUAACACGUGAGUAACCUGCCCUGGACUCUGGGAUAACCCCGAGAAAUCGGAGCUAAUACCGGAUAGGACCUUUCCUCGCAUGAGGUUUGGUGGAAAGUUUUUCGGUCUGGGAUGGACUCGCGGCCUAUCAGCUUGUUGGUGAGGUAAUGGCUCACCAAGGCGUCGACGGGUAGCCGGCCUGAGAGGGUGACCGGCCACACUGGGACUGAGACACGGCCCAGACUCCUACGGGAGGCAGCAGUGGGGAAUAUUGCACAAUGGGCGCAAGCCUGAUGCAGCAACGCCGCGUGCGGGAUGACGGCCUUCGGGUUGUAAACCGCUUUUAGUAGGGAAGAAGGGCUUCGGCUUGACGGUACCUGCAGAAAAAGGACCGGCUAACUACGUGCCAGCAGCCGCGGUAAUACGUAGGGUCCGAGCGUUGUCCGGAAUUAUUGGGCGUAAAGAGCUCGUAGGCGGUUUGUCGCGUCUGCUGUGAAAACUAGAGGCUCAACCUCUAGCCUGCAGUGGGUACGGGCAGACUUGAGUGGUGUAGGGGAGACUGGAAUUCCUGGUGUAGCGGUGGAAUGCGCAGAUAUCAGGAGGAACACCGAUGGCGAAGGCAGGUCUCUGGGCACUUACUGACGCUGAGGAGCGAAAGCGUGGGGAGCGAACAGGAUUAGAUACCCUGGUAGUCCACGCCGUAAACGUUGGGCGCUAGAUGUGGGGACCUUUCCACGGUUUCCGU
This 761-nucleotide ribosomal RNA is filed under the name Agromyces sp. TGR28. Its description in RNAcentral is "bacterial SSU rRNA". It matches the Rfam family "Bacterial small subunit ribosomal RNA", at positions 75 to 844 of the family's 1533-position model. The record is from RNAcentral. Lineage: Bacteria; Bacillati; Actinomycetota; Actinomycetes; Micrococcales; Microbacteriaceae.